UGCCAGAAAUACUCCAGGUGGGUUAGGGUUUUAUUCAAGGAAAUGCUGCAGUAGAAAACUACCAUUUCUCUGUGCUGUGUUCAGGAAGCACUCCACUGAUGGCCAGUGAUAAACAGUGACAGGGAACGAGGGAAACAGUGCGGACACCGUCAACUCUGUCUUCUGCAGUGCGGUGGCGUUUCGGUGGCUAACCAUCCUACUGGUCUGGCACUUCCGCAUCUGAAGUGCUGGGGAGCCUGCAGCCAGAAACCCUGAGUGCCCAUCACGGAGUACGUUCCAGUCCUAGAUGAGAUUCUACCUUGGGAGAGUGUGCAGAACUGCAAGCACCUGAGGAAAGUGGGUCUGUGCCUAUUCUUGGAAAAAACUGACUCAAAAUUAAGGACAGACCUGCCAAAAUACUGCAAGAAAAGAUGUUGCUGAUCACGGGCAGGAAAUACUCAAAGUCCCACGAGAUGGCCUGUUCUUAGGAGACUUCCACACGAAGUCUGCUGACCUCAGAAGGAUCAUCAGGCCACGACACUCACCGCUGGAGCCGCUCAGGGUUAAGAGGUGUCUGCGAGUUCCUCAUUCCAGGCAUCUGUGCCAACAUGGCACCGGAGACUCUUGUAAACUCCAAGUGUUGUUCAUUUUUUGUUUUUCAGAAGGGAAACAGAUGGCAAAAACUGGACUCAGUUGGGAAAUGGUUGAAUCCAUUAUGUUACAUCCAUGUUAUAGGAUGUUAUUUUGCUAUUAA
Molecule: long non-coding RNA, 733 nt
Organism: Balaenoptera ricei (Rice's whale)
Lineage: Eukaryota; Metazoa; Chordata; Mammalia; Artiodactyla; Balaenopteridae
Exons: 4
Source: RefSeq, a predicted model, not a curated record